Molecule: non-coding RNA, 25 nt
Filed under: Cricetulus griseus (Chinese hamster)
Lineage: Eukaryota; Metazoa; Chordata; Mammalia; Rodentia; Cricetidae
Source: RNAcentral
UCUUCUGACCUGCAAGCAUAUACGC